Molecule: long non-coding RNA, 199 nt
Organism: Girardinichthys multiradiatus
Lineage: Eukaryota; Metazoa; Chordata; Actinopteri; Cyprinodontiformes; Goodeidae
Exons: 2
Source: RefSeq, a predicted model, not a curated record
GGACUUCAAAUGUGGUGUUGGGCGAGCAGCAAGGGUCUAUACAGGACGAGAAGCAGGAACUUUACAGGAGGAACUGGUAGCUGACUUAGUGAACUGAGAAUAAUAUGUAUAGAGGAGGCUGUGUCUCUCGAUGGAAAGAGGCCAUGGUUGUGUAACAGCAUGAAGAUGAUGCACCGAAGAAAACAAUUCCCACAAAAGG